This 1042-nucleotide ribosomal RNA is filed under the name Crotaphatrema tchabalmbaboensis. Its description in RNAcentral is "partial 16S ribosomal RNA". It matches the Rfam family "Bacterial large subunit ribosomal RNA", at positions 853 to 2597 of the family's 2925-position model. Lineage: Eukaryota; Metazoa; Chordata; Amphibia; Gymnophiona; Scolecomorphidae. The record is from RNAcentral.
GCUCAAUAAACAAGUACAAGCUUAGCCUUAAAUUUUAUUUAAAUAAUCUACAAUUAAAAUAAAAACUUAAGAGUUACUCAAAGAGGGUACAGCCCCUUUGAAAAAGAAGACAACCUACAAAAAUGGGUAAUGUUCACAAUUAAUAAAAUUAUAUACAAACGUUGACCCAAAAGCAGCCAUCAUCAAAGAACGCGUCAAAGCCCAUGUAAUACAAACAUUAAGAUCCCGACAUAAAAACAAAACCCAUAUUUAACAUUGAGUCUAUUUAUAACCAUAUAAUUAAGUUAAUGCUAGAACUAGUAAUAAGAAUUAGAAAUUCUCUACCGCAUAAGUGUAAGUCAAUAUAACAAUUACUGACAUUCACCGAUAAGUAAAAUAAAAAUUAAACAAGGACACUUUACUCUUUAACUUAUCGUUAAUCCAACACAGGAGCGCGUACAGAAAGACAUAAAGAUAGAGAAGGAAUUCAGCAAACAUUAAGCUCCGCCUGUUUACCAAAAACAUCACCUCUAGCAAUCAAAACAUAUAUUAGAGGCAUCGCCUGCCCAGUGAUAUAUCAUUAAACGGCCGCGGUACCCUGACCGUGCUAAGGUAGCAUAAUCACUUGUCUUUUAAAUAAAGACUAGAAUGAACGGCCAAACGAGAACUUAACUGUCUCCUCUAUCUAGUCAACGAAACUGAUCUAUCAGUACAAAAGCUGAUAUAUGACUAUAAGACGAGAAGACCCUAUGAAGCUUUAAACCACGCAAACAACUGUUAUUUACAAAAACUUACAAUUAUGAUUAUGCUGCUUUUGGUUGGGGCGACCACGGAGAAAAUAAAACCUCCGAGACUACUAAAUCUAGACUGACAUGUCAAACAAUAAAAAUUUUACAACUUGACCCAAUUUAUUGACUAACGAAAUAAGUUACUCUAGGGAUAACAGCGCAAUCUUCUUCAAGAGCUCCUAUCGACAAGAAGGUUUACGACCUCGAUGUUGGAUCAGGAUAUCCUAACAGUGCAACCGCCGUUGAAGGUUUGUUUGUUCAACAAUUAAAAUCCU